UGAGGGUCAGAGAACCAGGAGCAGAUGUGGUGUUGAUUCCUAUCAGAAAUCAGUGACAGGAGGUGAGCUCCAAAAAGAUGUCUAUGAUGGCAGCAGCGGACUUUCUGUUGGUGUGAAACCGCAUGUGUCUGGUCAGGGGGCAGGCCACCAGCACUGGCCUGGGCCAUAUCACGCCAGAUGAUGGGCAGCUCCCACUCUACCUCCCUGUCAGUCCAUCCUUCAUACCACCAUUGGGGUGAGCUUUCUGAGAUGGACGUUCUAUCAAGUCAAACAUUUCCAUACCUGUCUGUCACCUACAGGGAUGUCAAAAUGUUGUAUAGCACUCUGACUGUUGGAGAUUCGUGUCCCCACCCACCUUUGCACCUUUAUCUACCUGAUGCAAGUCAAACUCAGGAAGAUACCACAGGCCUGUUCAUCCUUUAGGGGAAACUAAACCACCCUCAGAUUCUUGGAUGUGUCCUUUCUCUUCUCAUCUCUGUGCUUUGUCCUAUCCAAUUCCACUGACUUGAAUUCCCAAGGUGCUCCUCUCAGCUGUUGGCAGCAGUGACUGCCUGGUGUUGGCAUCGAUUAUAACACUUACUGCAAUGUAAUUGGCUGUGUCUCUGCCUCUCCUACUAGAUAGGGACCCUUCCAAGAGCAGAGAACAUGUUAAUCCAGUUUUGUAUCCCUGGUUCUAGUGCAGUGCCUGAAACAGAAAAUGCUCAGUACAGGAAAAAUUGGGCUAUGGGCAGCAAAGAGUUUAAUCCAAGUAGGAAAUUCCAUUGUAGCCCUCCAAAUGUCAUUCAGCUCAGCCAUUUCAUUCAUUUAUUUGUAUGAAAUUUAUUGAAUUUGAUUGAGAUUUAUUGAACUUUUAUGAGUCACCAUGAAUUAGAUCACGUUGCAGUAACAAAGAACUCCAAAAUCCUAAUCAUCGAAAAAAAAAAAAGUUGAUUUGUCACUAGGGCAGCAUCUCCAACAUGGGUUAGUGGAUGAAUGAUACUCUACACAAUCUGGGAAGAGAUUCCACCACCUUAUGACUUAAACAUUUGGAGUUCAUGGUCUUAGCUGCAAGGAAAGGAAGAAAGCACAUGUCCCUCCUGCUCCCCAGAUCACUGAUCAGGCUAGACACAGAGCACCCCCCAAUAGCAUAGAAACUGGGAAAUGUGGAGAGUUAAUGGCAAAUACCUGGUAAGUGGUACUAACAUUGUCAUAAGCACUGAUCACAUUCAAGAUAUUGAACUAAGCACUGUCGAUGUCCCUUUAGGAGUUCAGAGUCAAAUGGAUGAUAAUACUUUGGAUAUGAACAUAAAAAAAAAUGAGAAGGCAGAAUGUGCUGCCAGACUUUUCAACUACAGUGACCCUCCCAGGAAUGAGCCCACCACAGGAAACAAAGACUCAGUGCCAAGCUCAUGAGUCCAUGCGUUUAAUCCAGCCUCCUCAAUACAAUGCCCACGUCUGUGCCAUCAUCCUUCAGGCUGAUGGUUACGGGGGGUUGCUCUUUCUCUCAGGUCAGCCUAGAUACUGAGAGGUCCUCAACCUCAUUUCCCCCUUUUGGAUAAAUGUUCUGUUACGAAUCCUCCCUCUCUUCUCCUUUCCCUUCUUGAGGCAAGCUGUGUUCCUUUUUCUUGAGAGCUGACAUCUUAGCUCCUUCUCUGCUCAAGGAAGCUGGCAGCCUAACACAAAGCCAGAGUUCCAUAUGAUCCCGUGAGGCUGAGAAUAAAAUCGAAUCCCCCCCUCACAUCAGGGAACCUUGAGAUUUGGAGACUCAAAAAUAUCCUGGCAGAAGGUCCCCAUAAAAAUGUAUAAAUAACCACAUUCUUACUCUGGCUCCUGUUCUCUGUGUUGAGGCACCUGGCACAAGGGUCAAGCAGAAGUUUGUUUUUCAUCCUUCUCUUUUAUUCGCCACUUGGCCUCCCUUUUUCACCCUCUGCCAAUUGUCUGGUGACCUUCUGUCACGGAAAGUGACUCAGGCUCUCCUUCCAUGUCUGUCCCUUCCAGGCAGGCUCUUGUUUCUUGCCUAGCCCAAACUGUCCCUCCGCCCAGUAAAUACGACCUGUCCUGAAUCUCCUUUCUCCUCAGAUGACCUGCACAAAAGGCACCAAGAGCCCUGGCCUGACCAACUGCUCGAACACCAAGAGGUACAAGAUUAUUUGUGGGAUCCCAGGGCCCGGGCUGCUCUCAGUUAGGAGAGGGAGGUCUGGCCAAGCCAAGUGGCCAGCUGGCUCUCUUGGCUAUAAGUCACUGUCAGCUCUCUCUCAUGUGUGGGUCUGGAAUAUGAAUGGGCUUAGAAGUACAGAGUGAAGAGAGUAAAGACCUCAGAGGGCCACCUUGCGCUUUUCUCCUGUAUUAGCAGCAGACACAAAGAAGUUUGUGACGGAGAGCCGUGAAUAAAGCAUAUUUUUUCAGAGCCAGCUUCCUCUGUCAACAUUUCCCCUUUCCCUGUGCUUCUUAAAUGCACAUUUCAUUUGCUACCUGUUAAUGGAUGAGUGCAUUUUUAGAAAGAGCUGCUCAGAAAGGACUAAGGAGAAUUUCAAGGAAUGAACACCAGUAGCUGAAUUUCAGGCAUCUGUGAUUAUGUCACAGAUGUCCUUCAGGACUGAGGACCUCCCAACAAGUCUGAAAGCAGACUACAUGGGCCAGGCAGCCAGCCUUGACCUGUCAAGUGGCAUACCUGAGAUUUCUAUGGAAGACAAAGCCAUGAAACUAGUGUUUUGUUAUAAUAUGAAGGAAACAGACAAUUCACGGGGAGUUUCUGACUCACCCAGGGAGAAAGUAGAAGCCAGGUGGGGGAUUUGCAAAGAGCAGGUGUAACAGCUGCUAAGUAUUUAAAACCUACUACCCAAGUGAACAGUGAGGUGAAAUGCAAAUAAUUCACAUAACACUGAAAAAGCUACUCAGCUUUUCUGAACUAAACCUUUCCUGGACAACAUUAAUGUUGGAUGAGACCUUAGAAGUUAUCCAGUCAAAUGCCUGAUCGACAUGGGAGUCCCCUUUCCAAGGUUUCAACCUGUCUUGAUCACACUCAGACAUGGGUGUUCAAGAAACAGACUUGGAGUUCCUACUGGGGCUCAGUGGAAAUGAAUCAGACUGGCAUCCAUGAGGACACAGGUUUGAUCCCUGGCCUUGCUCAGAGGGUUAAGGAUCCAGCAGUCCAGCCUUGCUGUGUGCUGUGGUGUAGGUCACAGACAUGGCUCCGGUCCCAUGUUGCUGUGGCUGUGACAUAGGCCAGCAGCUAUAGCUCCAAUUCGACC
This 3230-nucleotide long non-coding RNA is filed under the name Sus scrofa (pig). RNAcentral describes it as "lncRNA (ENSSSCG00000058545.1)". Lineage: Eukaryota; Metazoa; Chordata; Mammalia; Artiodactyla; Suidae. The record is from RNAcentral.